UAAUUAUGAGUUUGCGUGAAGUGAGCACGUCGUUUGCCAAAGUUGGAAACUACAGCUCCCAGUAUACUAUGGUCUCUGGAUCACGUGAUUGAUCAACUGAGAAAUACAUGGGUAGAUGUAAACCAACAUACUAAACUCAUGAUUUUAGUCUACUGCAAUGAUUAUAUGUCAGUGGGUUGUCUUUAUUCAAUACGCCCAACUUUAUGUAAGGUUUGUAUAAUAAUACACACAAGGCUUAGAAUGAAGAGAUAUGAAGCAAGGAGGAUGAUCCUUCCGAUCUAGUACAUCUACAUCAACUGUCGCGUCAAAACCGUCGCAAAGGAGGGUAGCUACGGUAACCAACAUCCUGAAUCCACGACAGAGGUCUGUCCUCACCAACCAACUAUCAAGGUAGACUGGUAGGCCUUGGCAACAAUGUCUGCUCCUCAACAGCAGGAACAAAGCAGAGCCCUGUGUGCAAACCCUGGGAAUCCUGUUUUCUCAUGUAUGAUGACCCCAGUGGUUAAAAACAAUUCUCCUGUGCCAUGGGCAAAGCCUCAAAGCCCCUUCUACAAGACCACCUCAAGUGACUAUGGCAUUAGUCCUCCAACAUUUGAAUCAUCACCAUGUACCUACCACCCACUUUCACAAAGAUUCACAGAAGACCUUGGGAACUGUGGGAUGUUACGUGACAACUCCUUCAAUACAAGUCUUGAUCGAAGCAGGGUAUAUGACUGCCCUAAUUUGCAAAACACUAUCUGAUUUGAUUGACAUGGUAACAUUGUCUUGGUGUUGAUUAAACUACCUGGUGGACCUUCACUCCAUUGACAAUGA
Long non-coding RNA from Oncorhynchus mykiss (rainbow trout), 813 nucleotides. RefSeq lists it as uncharacterized. The record is from RefSeq and is a predicted model, not a curated record. NCBI's taxonomy places the organism in Eukaryota, Metazoa, Chordata, Actinopteri, Salmoniformes, Salmonidae.